Long non-coding RNA from Sebastes umbrosus (honeycomb rockfish), 189 nucleotides. RefSeq lists it as uncharacterized. The transcript is spliced from 2 exons. The record is from RefSeq and is a predicted model, not a curated record. Lineage: Eukaryota; Metazoa; Chordata; Actinopteri; Perciformes; Sebastidae.
AGAUAGAUUUUCUUUCGACUAAUCGUCGCAGCCUUAGUUUGUAUAUUGUAGUCUAUGUUAACAUGGUGUUGAUAUGAAGUUUCUAUCCAUAUACAAGAAUAAUAAGACCUUUGCUGAAGGUUAACUAUAUGGUGUUUCAUAUGAAUAAGAUAUGCACUGUACUCCCAGUCUCAUUAAAUCUGUUUAAAA